GAGGCAGGAGUGAAUACAUCAGCUUCAGGGUUUGUUCUUGGACCCACUAUACAGACAGAUGACACAUACUGACAUACAUACAGCUCUCUGCCUGUCUCUUCAAUUCCCCUCUCCUUUUCAACUUGAUGUUUCCUGAAACCUCCCCAUCCAUGUCUGCUGCCAGGGGCCCAUACAGUAAGUAGGGUUUCUGGAAGCCAAGAUGAAGAAGAAAAUAACCUAGAAAAAAGGCACUAUGGGGAUGGAAGGAAUAUGCAUUUGCCCGGGAAACAAGGGAGUUCCCCCCCACUUCCUUCCUUGUCCUUCCACAAGUCACAAUUUAAACCUGUCACUGAAUGCAGAGCAGUAGCAACUAGUUCUUCCACUGUUGCUUGCUAGGACUUAUGAAUUAUGAUCAUGCAGGCAUGGCCUCAGAUCAGAUCUCAUAGUCAAUCUUCUUAUGAAUUGCCCCUGUCAUGUUAAGUUGUAGUUCAUGGAUUAGAGAAAUGUUCUUGAUGCUUAUAGCUAAGUAAUCACUUCAAUUUAGUGGUGUUUGAAGUUAACACUAACCAGUAACUGGGUACUGCAGACAUGGCAGCAUAGGAGCUCUGCUGGUGCAUGUAGCCGUACAUUGUUGCCGCUGCCGUGGUGUCUGCCUCCGGCUCUGGCCCGCAGUCGAGGUUGACGCCGAACAGCCUGAGCCGCCUCGAUGGCGCCGAGCCUGCACUGAAGCUUGGGCUGUCCGUGUCGCGCGGAGACUCGUCUACAGUUUGGUCAUCAGAAAUGGUAUGAGCAAGCAAAGCUCGAGGUAUGAAAUGUUAUGCUGUUCAUGUUAAUUUUGUUUAUGAUCAUCAGUUGCUUCGUCUUCGUUUCUUUACCUGCAUGGUGCAUGUCCCCGUGAUCAUGAUCUGCUGCGCGGCGGUAGGCGUAGGAGUUGGCUGGGCUGGUAGGGUAUGAGCCGCCGCCCGACGUGCUGUAACACAUUGGGCUCCACGGCUGCUGCUCGCCGGCGUUCUGUGCAGCCGGGGCGACGCGCACGGCGGGCGGCGGUGCGGGUGUUUGCGCGGCGGCGGCGUCGCCGCGGCGCCUGCAGCCGAUGAAGAGACGGUCGCCGACGCCGAAGGAGCCGCGCACCCUCUCGAAGUGCACGACGUCGCCGGCGUCGAGGCGCUUCUCCUUGACGUAGCGGCUCCAGCCCUUGGUGAGCACGUAGCUCUGGCUGCUCGUCCAGUAGGAGUACCUGAACCGCCACGGCGCGCCGGCCUCGUCCUCGAACGACAGGAUCAGGCCCUUGUCGGCGGCGUCGCCGGCGCCGAGGGGGAAGUACCUCUCGGCGUGCUGCUUGGGGAUCACCAGCCGGUUCAGCUUCCCCACGUCACUGGGCGUCAGGGGCUUCUCAAACAUGUGCUCCUUCUCGUAGUGGUGGUGGUAGUGGAAGUUGGCGUACAUGGCCACACCCCAUGGCCAGGACUGGGGUUGCUCCUGGGAGAAGAGAGGGUGGUUCAUGGCCAUUUCUGCUAGCUUACUUCUCUUUUGUGGCAAAAGCUUUUGCUGCUAGUGCUGGAGAGGGAUAGCAGGGAUGGUGUGCGGUGUAGAGAACAAUGCAGAUGUCAUGGCCACGCAUUUAUAGCCUACCAAGGAGAACUUUGGGGGUGUGUCCACAUAAUAAUGUAUUACUAUUUCCUUGGUACAUGACAUGAGGGGGGGCUUGGUCCAUUUUAACCUAGGUAGACAGGAAGAAUCAAAGUGAAGCGCAUCAAAGAUGCUGAGGUUAGAAUAUGUAGUUUCAUUCAGUGUAGCUGCUGCUGAUGAGGAAUGAUCAGAUACUCAGAUAGUGGCGCUUCAAAGUUGGUGCCUGGCCAUUGUGGCCUAAUCACAGCCAUCCAGGCGAGGUGGAGUAGACUUUGGCCCUACCACUACUCGCCAUGUGCCUGGUGGUUGCAACCUAGCUAUGUGUGACCACUGUCAUUAGCUCCCCCCAUUU
This 1960-nucleotide small RNA is filed under the name Oryza sativa Japonica Group (Japanese rice). Its description in RNAcentral is "sRNA Os11g0156050". The record is from RNAcentral. Lineage: Eukaryota; Viridiplantae; Streptophyta; Magnoliopsida; Poales; Poaceae.